This 468-nucleotide ribosomal RNA is filed under the name uncultured bacterium. Its description in RNAcentral is "partial 16S ribosomal RNA". It matches the Rfam family "Bacterial small subunit ribosomal RNA", at positions 28 to 507 of the family's 1533-position model. The record is from RNAcentral.
GACGAACGCUGGCGGCGUGCUUAACACAUGCAAGUCGAACGGAAAGGUACUGAUUUUGCGGGGUUCUCGAGAGGCGAACGGGUGAGUAACACGCGAGUAUACUGUACCUGACUUUGGGAGAAAAUCACGAAACUGGGGAGCAUAUCCGAUAGAACAUCUUGCUGCACGGUGGUCGUAGGAAAGAUAUGGCGGUGGGGGCUGGAAUAGCGGCUAAUCAGCUUGUUGGUGGGGUAGGGGCUUAACACGGCUUCGACGGGUAGCCGGCGUUAGCGGGUGACCGGCGCCAAGGGGACUGAGGUAGGGCACAGACUCCUACGGCGAGCAGCAGGGGGAAAUAUUGCAGAGUGGGCCGGAGCCUGAUGCAGCAACGCCGCGUGCGGAAUGACGGCCUACGGGUUAAAAACCUCUUUCUCCUGUGACGAAGCGUGAGUGACGGUAAUUGGUAAAAAAGCACCGGCUAACUACGUG